GGGACACGUGGUAUCCUGUCUGAAUAUGGGGGGACCAUCCUCCAAGGCUAAAUACUCCUGACUGACCGAUAGUGAACCAGUACCGUGAGGGAAAGGCGAAAAGAACCCCGGCGAGGGGAGUGAAAAAGAACCUGAAACCGUGUACGUACAAGCAGUGGGAGCACGCUUAGGCGUGUGACUGCGUACCUUUUGUAUAAUGGGUCAGCGACUUAUAUUCUGUAGCAAGGUUAACCGAAUAGGGGAGCCGAAGGGAAACCGAGUCUUAACUGGGCGUUAAGUUGCAGGGUAUAGACCCGAAACCCGGUGAUCUAGCCAUGGGCAGGUUGAAGGUUGGGUAACACUAACUGGAGGACCGAACCGACUAAUGUUGAAAAAUUAGCGGAUGACUUGUGGCUGGGGGUGAAAGGCCAAUCAAACCGGGAGAUAGCUGGUUCUCCCCGAAAGCUAUUUAGGUAGCGCCUCGUGAAUUCAUCUCCGGGGGUAGAGCACUGUUUCGGCAAGGGGGUCAUCCCGACUUACCAACCCGAUGCAAACUGCGAAUACCGGAGAAUGUUAUCACGGGAGACACACGGCGGGUGCUAACGUCCGUCGUGAAGAGGGAAACAACCCAGACCGCCAGCUAAGGUCCCAAAGUCAUGGUUAAGUGGGAAACGAUGUGGGAAGGCCCAGACAGCCAGGAUGUUGGCUUAGAAGCAGCCAUCAUUUAAAGAAAGCGUAAUAGCUCACUGGUCGAGUCGGCCUGCGCGGAAGAUGUAACGGGGCUAAACCAUGCACCGAAGCUGCGGCAGCGACGCUUAUGCGUUGUUGGGUAGGGGAGCGUUCUGUAAGCCUGCGAAGGUGUGCUGUGAGGCAUGCUGGAGGUAUCAGAAGUGCGAA
Molecule: ribosomal RNA, 876 nt
Filed under: Escherichia coli
Lineage: Bacteria; Pseudomonadati; Pseudomonadota; Gammaproteobacteria; Enterobacterales; Enterobacteriaceae
Description: partial 23S ribosomal RNA
Rfam family: Bacterial large subunit ribosomal RNA
Source: RNAcentral